RNAcentral lists this ribosomal RNA (449 nucleotides) under uncultured bacterium. Its description in RNAcentral is "partial 16S ribosomal RNA". It matches the Rfam family "Bacterial small subunit ribosomal RNA", at positions 29 to 523 of the family's 1533-position model. The record is from RNAcentral.
AACGAACGCUGGCGGCAGGCCUAACACAUGCAAGUCGAACGCCCUAGCAAUAGGGAGUGGCAGACGGGUGAGUAACACGUGGGAACCUUCCCUAUAGUACGGAAUAGCCCAGGGAAACUCGGAGUAAUACCGUAUACGCCCGAGAGGGGCAAGAUUUAUCGCUAUAGGAUGGGCCCGCGUCGGAUUAGCUAGUUGGUGAGGUAACGGCUCACCAAGGCAACGAUCCGUCGCUGGUUUGAGAGAAUGACCAGCCACACUGGGACUGAGACACGGCCCAGACUCCUACGGGAGGCAGCAGUGGGGAAUCUUGGACAAUGGGCGCAAGCCUGAUCCAGCCAUGCCGCGUGAGUGAUGAAGGCCCUAGGGUUGUAAAGCUCUUUUGUCGGGGACGAUAAUGACGGUACCCGAAGAAUAAGCUCCGGCUAACUUCGUGCCAGCCGCCGCAGUAA